UUAACUAAGAUUUGUAUGGAGUUGAAACGUCUGCUUACGUUUGCCGCUAAGGGCGCUGUUCCAACUCCAUACAAAUUUGUGUUA
Molecule: non-coding RNA, 84 nt
Organism: Bombyx mori (domestic silkworm)
Lineage: Eukaryota; Metazoa; Arthropoda; Insecta; Lepidoptera; Bombycidae
Source: Rfam